Molecule: long non-coding RNA, 378 nt
Filed under: Rattus norvegicus (Norway rat)
Lineage: Eukaryota; Metazoa; Chordata; Mammalia; Rodentia; Muridae
Description: long non-coding RNA NONRATT018694
Source: RNAcentral
CUUUUCUAUUUAUUUACUUUUAUUUACCCCUAUUGAAUCAAUCUAACAAGCUAAUUAUCUAUCUAUCUAUCUAUCUAUCUAUCUAUCUAUCUAUCUAUCUAUCUAUCUAUCUAUCCAAUCAUGUAUCAUGUACUUAUAUAAUGCUGUGCUUCAUAAUAAAUUUACUUGGGGUAAGUUAUCAGUGGGUGCAAGAUUUUCUGCCAUAAAUAUUUUAUCUACAUGUCCUUACCACAUCACUCUUUCAUUUUAGUUAUUACCACUGAAAAAUGACCUGCUCCUAUAGUCAAAUAUAGUUAAAGUGUGCUUAUGUAUUUAUUUUUAAUUUUUAUUAGAUGUACUUUUUUACUUACAUUUCAAACGUUAUUUCACUUCUUAGUU